CCGGCGACCGGCGCACGGGUGAGUAACACGUAUGCGACCUGCCCCCGCAGGGGAUAACCGGGAGAAAUCCCGACUAAUACCGCGUAACGCCGCGGACCUGCAUGGGUCUGCGGCCAAAGGAAGCGAUUCCGGCGGGGGAUGGGCAUGCGGCGCAUUAGCUAGUCGGCGGGGUAACGGCCCACCGAGGCGACGAUGCGUAGGGGUUCUGAGAGGAAGGUCCCCCACACUGGUACUGAGACACGGACCAGACUCCUACGGGAGGCAGCAG
This 268-nucleotide ribosomal RNA is filed under the name uncultured bacterium. RNAcentral describes it as "partial 16S ribosomal RNA". It matches the Rfam family "Bacterial small subunit ribosomal RNA", at positions 88 to 354 of the family's 1533-position model. The record is from RNAcentral.